UGUGAGCUCGAUGAGUAGGGCGGGACACGUGGUAUCCUGUCUGAAUAUGGGGGGACCAUCCUCCAAGGCUAAAUACUCCUGACUGACCGAUAGUGAACCAGUACCGUGAGGGAAAGGCGAAAAGAACCCCGGCGAGGGGAGUGAAAAAGAACCUGAAACCGUGUACGUACAAGCAGUGGGAGCACGCUUCGGCGUGUGACUGCGUACCUUUUGUAUAAUGGGUCAGCGACUUAUAUUCUGUAGCAAGGUUAACCGAAUAGGGGAGCCGAAGGGAAACCGAGUCUUAACUGGGCGUUAAGUUGCAGGGUAUAGACCCGAAACCCGGUGAUCUAGCCAUGGGCAGGUUGAAGGUUGGGUAACACUAACUGGAGGACCGAACCGACUAAUGUUGAAAAAUUAGCGGAUGACUUGUGGCUGGGGGUGAAAGGCCAAUCAAACCGGGAGAUAGCUGGUUCUCCCCGAAAGCUAUUUAGGUAGCGCCUCGUGAAUUCAUCUCCGGGGGUAGAGCACUGUUUCGGCAAGGGGGUCAUCCCGACUUACCAACCCGAUGCAAACUGCGAAUACCGGAGAAUGUUAUCACGGGAGACACACGGCGGGUGCUAACGUCCGUCGUGAAGAGGGAAACAACCCAGACCGCCAGCUAAGGUCCCAAAGUCAUGGUUAAGUGGGAAACGAUGUGGGAAGGCCCAGACAGCCAGGAUGUUGGCUUAGAAGCAGCCAUCAUUUAAAGAAAGCGUAAUAGCUCACUGGUCGAGUCGGCCUGCGCGGAAGAUGUAACGGGGCUAAACCAUGCACCGAAGCUGCGGCAGCGACGCUGAUGCGUUGUUGGGUAGGGGAGCGUUCUGUAAGCCUGCGAAGGUGUGCUGUGAGGCAUGCUGGAGGUAUCAGAAGUGCGAAUGCUGACAUAAGUAACGAUAAAGCGGGUGAAAAGCCCGCUCGCCGGAAGACCAAGGGUUCCUGUCCAACGUUAAUCGGGGCAGGGUGAGUCGACCCCUAAGGCGAGGCCGAAAGGCGUAGUCGAUGGGAAACAGGUUAAUAUUCCUGUACUUGGUGUUACUGCGAAGGGGGGACGGAGAAGGCUAUGUUGGCCGGGCGACGGUUGUCCCGGUUUAAGCGUGUAGGCUGGUUUUCCAGGCAAAUCCGGAAAAUCAAGGCUGAGGCGUGAUGACGAGGCACUACGGUGCUGAAGCAACAAAUGCCCUGCUUCCAGGAAAAGCCUCUAAGCAUCAGGUAACAUCAAAUCGUACCCCAAACCGACACAGGUGGUCAGGUAGAGAAUACCAAGGCGCUUGAGAGAACUCGGGUGAAGGAACUAGGCAAAAUGGUGCCGUAACUUCGGGAGAAGGCACGCUGAUAUGUAGGUGAAGCCCCUCGCGGAUGGAGCUGAAAUCAGUCGAAGAUACCAGCUGGCUGCAACUGUUUAUUAAAAACACAGCACUGUGCAAACACGAAAGUGGACGUAUACGGUGUGACGCCUGCCCGGUGCCGGAAGGUUAAUUGAUGGGGUUAGCCGCAAGGCGAAGCUCUUGAUCGAAGCCCCGGUAAACGGCGGCCGUAACUAUAACGGUCCUAAGGUAGCGAAAUUCCUUGUCGGGUAAGUUCCGACCUGCACGAAUGGCGUAAUGAUGGCCAGGCUGUCUCCACCCGAGACUCAGUGAAAUUGAACUCGCUGUGAAGAUGCAGUGUACCCGCGGCAAGACGGAAAGACCCCGUGAACCUUUACUAUAGCUUGACACUGAACAUUGAGCCUUGAUGUGUAGGAUAGGUGGGAGGCUUUGAAGUGUGGACGCCAGUCUGCAUGGAGCCGACCUUGAAAUACCACCCUUUAAUGUUUGAUGUUCUAACGUUGACCCGUAAUCCGGGUUGCGGACAGUGUCUGGUGGGUAGUUUGACUGGGGCGGUCUCCUCCUAAAGAGUAACGGAGGAGCACGAAGGUUGGCUAAUCCUGGUCGGACAUCAGGAGGUUAGUGCAAUGGCAUAAGCCAGCUUGACUGCGAGCGUGACGGCGCGAGCAGGUGCGAAAGCAGGUCAUAGUGAUCCGGUGGUUCUGAAUGGAAGGGCCAUCGCUCAACGGAUAAAAGGUACUCCGGGGAUAACAGGCUGAUACCGCCCAAGAGUUCAUAUCGACGGCGGUGUUUGGCACCUCGAUGUCGGCUCAUCACAUCCUGGGGCUGAAGUAGGUCCCAAGGGUAUGGCUGUUCGCCAUUUAAAGUGGUACGCGAGCUGGGUUUAGAACGUCGUGAGACAGUUCGGUCCCUAUCUGCCGUGGGCGCUGGAGAACUGAGGGGGGCUGCUCCUAGUACGAGAGGACCGGAGUGGACGCAUCACUGGUGUUCGGGUUGUCAUGCCAAUGGCACUGCCCGGUAGCUAAAUGCGGAAGAGAUAAGUGCUGAAAGCAUCUAAGCACGAAACUUGCCCCGAGAUGAGUUCUCCCUGACUCCUUGAGAGUCCUGAAGGAACGUUGAAGACGACGACGUUGAUAGGCCGGGUGUGUAAGCGCAGCGAUGCGUUGAGCUAACCGGUACUAAUGAACCGUGAGGCUUAACCUU
RNAcentral lists this ribosomal RNA (2549 nucleotides) under Escherichia coli UMEA 3199-1. RNAcentral describes it as "bacterial LSU rRNA". It matches the Rfam family "Bacterial large subunit ribosomal RNA", at positions 398 to 2925 of the family's 2925-position model. Lineage: Bacteria; Pseudomonadati; Pseudomonadota; Gammaproteobacteria; Enterobacterales; Enterobacteriaceae. The record is from RNAcentral.